Molecule: unclassified non-coding RNA, 202 nt
Filed under: Hevea brasiliensis (rubber tree)
Lineage: Eukaryota; Viridiplantae; Streptophyta; Magnoliopsida; Malpighiales; Euphorbiaceae
Source: RNAcentral
CGCACUUAGAGUAAGCCGAUGACAGACGUACAGGCGAAAUCAGUUGAAGCGAGAGCGAGCCAAGCCGAGUAAAAAGCCUUGGUUGCUGCUUACCGUAACCGGAUAACAACACGCGUAGUUCCACGUGCAAAAACAGCCUAUACACGUAAGGCUGACUGCAGAAAAGUAAAACUAAACGUCCAGUAAAACAUCUCUUUCUUGG